GCCCUCCUGACGAGUGCACGACGCCUGGUUUCCGCGGACGUCCCCUGCCACUGCGGACAUCUCCUGCGGACGCGGACGUGUCCUGCCGCCGCGGACGCGUCCUACCGCUGCGGACGUCUCCUGCCGCCGCGGAAGCGUCCCACCGCCGCGGACGUUUCCUGCCGCCGCAGAAGUCUCCUGCCACCGCAGACGCGUCCCACCGCCGCGGACGUCUCCUGCCGCUGUGGACGUCUCCUGCUACCGAGGUCUCCUGCCGUCACGAAUCUCAUCGGCCGUCCGUGAUCAUUGUCGGUUGCUCGCGGACGUCGCCUUUCCGGUCGUGGAUCUGCCCGCGACGUCGCCUACCUUCAGCGGAGAUCGUCUGCUGGCCACGGACAUCACCUACCACCCGCGGACUCGUCUGCCGCCCGCGGUCAUCGCGUGCCGGCCGCGGGUAUCGCUUGCCGUCCACGGACGCAGGCAGCCUGCCGCCGCAGACGUCGCCCAGCGCUCGCGGACGUCAUCCUCCCCGAAUCCUCACGGCCAACACCCUCCGUGAGAUCCCCUUCCGACCGUGUGCAGCCGGCGUAUUCACGCGUUCAUUGCCCACGCACGCGGUGAAGACUCCUCCAUCAAAAGGGGCACGCGGAAUAAUCACCAGUUUUGGUUUCGGGGCGCUGCCCCGAACCCUGCAAGGGGGCGGCUACCCCCUUGACCCCCCGCCAACUGACCGCGCAGUUGGAUCUGCGAAGACUUCGCUGAAGAUCUACAGGGGAGCGUAAUUUGGGCGAAACAAGAUCUAUAGAGAUCCGGGCGAUCAAUCGACGGGAGUACCGGUGGGGGUCGGGAAACCACCCGACGCACGUGGGUCCCGUGUGAAGUGGAGAGAACGGGGCGUGGCCCGCC
RNAcentral lists this long non-coding RNA (885 nucleotides) under Spirodela polyrhiza (greater duckweed). RNAcentral describes it as "long non-coding RNA (SPOL_LNC000438)". The record is from RNAcentral. Lineage: Eukaryota; Viridiplantae; Streptophyta; Magnoliopsida; Alismatales; Araceae.